CCUACGGGAGGCAGCAGUGGGGGAUCUUGCACAAUGGGGGGAACCCUGAUGCAGCGACGCCGCGUGGGUGAAGAAGGGCCUCGGCGCGUAAAGCCCUGUCAGCAGGGAAGAAAAUGACGGUACCUGACGAAGAAGCCCCGGCUAACUACGUGCCAGCAGCCGCGGUAAUACGUAGGGGGCAAGCGUUAUCCGGAUUUACUGGGUGUAAAGGGGGCGCAGACGGCGAUGCAAGCCAGGAGUGAAAGCCCGGGGCCCAACCCCGGGACUGCUCUUGGAACUGCGUGGCUGGAGUGCAGGAGGGGCAGGCGGAAUUCCUGGUGUAGCGGUGAAAUGCGUAGAUAUCAGGAGGAACACCGGUGGCGAAGGCGGCCUGCUGGACUGCAACUGACGUUGAGGCCCGAAAGCGUGGGGAGCAAACAGGAUUAGAUACCCCAGUAGUC
RNAcentral lists this ribosomal RNA (440 nucleotides) under uncultured bacterium. RNAcentral's name for it is "partial 16S ribosomal RNA". It matches the Rfam family "Bacterial small subunit ribosomal RNA", at positions 338 to 795 of the family's 1533-position model. The record is from RNAcentral.